This 440-nucleotide ribosomal RNA is filed under the name uncultured bacterium. RNAcentral describes it as "partial 16S ribosomal RNA". It matches the Rfam family "Bacterial small subunit ribosomal RNA", at positions 338 to 795 of the family's 1533-position model. The record is from RNAcentral.
CCUACGGGUGGCAGCAGUGGGGAAUAUUGCACAAUGGGGGUAACCCUGAUGCAGCGACGCCGCGUGAGUGAAGAAGUCUCUCGGUAUGUAAAGCUCUAUCAGCAGGGGAGAAAAUGACGGUACCUGAUUAAGAAGCCACGGCUAACUACGUGCCAGCAGCCGCGGUAAUACGUAGGGGGCAAGCGGUAUCCCGAUUUACUGGGUGUAAAGGGAGCGUAGACGGGAGCACAAGUCUGGAGGGAAAUGCCGGGGCUUAACCCCGGAACGGCUUUUGAAACUGUGCAGCUAGAGUGCAGGAGAGGUAAGUGGAAUUCCUGGUGUAGCGGUGAAAUGCGUAGAUAUUAGGAGGAACACCAGUUGCGAAGGCGGCUUACUGGACUGUAACUGACGUUGAGGCUCGAAAGCGUGGGGAGCAAACAGGAUUAGAUACCCCGGUAGUC